CCCUUAGAUGUUCUGGGCUGCACGCGCGCUACACUGAAGCGUUCAACGAGUAUUUCACCUUGCCCGGGAGGGUUGGGUAAUCUUUUUAAAACGCUUCGUGAUGGGGAUAGAUUAUUGCAAUUAUUAAUCUUCAACGAGGAAUUCCUAGUAAGCGCGAGUCAUCAGCUCGUGCUGAUUACGUCCCUGCCCUUUGUACACACCGCCCGUCGCUCCUACCGAUUGAAUGGUCCGGUGAAAUCUUCGGAUUGCUGAUCAAAUUCCAGCAAUGGAGCUUGAUUGCGAGAAGUUGAUUAAACCUUAUUAUUUAGAGGAAGGAGAAGUCGUAACA
This 328-nucleotide ribosomal RNA is filed under the name uncultured eukaryote. RNAcentral's name for it is "partial 18S ribosomal RNA". It matches the Rfam family "Eukaryotic small subunit ribosomal RNA", at positions 1470 to 1796 of the family's 1831-position model. The record is from RNAcentral.